Molecule: RNA transcript, 1999 nt
Organism: Tarenaya hassleriana
Lineage: Eukaryota; Viridiplantae; Streptophyta; Magnoliopsida; Brassicales; Cleomaceae
Gene name: GPCR-type G protein 2-like
Exons: 15
Source: RefSeq, a predicted model, not a curated record
UUUUAUUCAUAAGAUAUCACCGUGAUCAAAUUAAUAUAAUAUGCGAAUCAAAAUAUUAGAUUUUUCUAAAAUACUGAUCGGAGUUGGUUCUGUUCUCGGGAGAUCUGAGAGAUUGGCGAUGGCUUACGGACGCGCGAUCUUCGACGGCGUGGUGGUGAUCGGAUCGCUUUGUCUCUUGGGAUGGACCGGUCUCUGGUUCCUGAAUCGGCGGCUAUACAAGGAGUACGAAGAGAAGCGAGCCUUGGUCCAGAUCAUCUUCAGCAUCGUCUUCGCUUUCUCUUGCAAUCUCUUGCAGCUCGUCCUGUUCGAAAUCAUCCCUGUUCUCUCUAAAGAGGCCAGGAUGGUAAACUGGAAGGUGGACCUGUUUUGUUUGAUACUACUUCUGGUUUUCAUGUUGCCAUAUUAUCAUUGCUAUUUGAUGCUUCGCAACAGUGGUAUAAGGAAGGAGCGCGCUGCUGUUGGGGCCUUGUUAUUCUUGACGGCCUUCCUUUAUGCUUUCUGGCGCAUGGGCAUUCAUUUUCCCAUGCCUUCACCAGACAAAGGCUUUUUUACCAUGCCUCAGCUGGUCAGCCGAAUUGGGGUCAUUGGUGUGACCGUCAUGGCUGUCUUAUCUGGCUUUGGAGCUGUAAAUUUACCCUACAGUUAUAUAUCACUCUUCAUUAGGGAGAUUGAAGAAUCAGAAAUAAAAUCCUUAGAAAGGCAACUGAUGCAAUCAAUUGAGACUUGCAUAGCAAAGAAGAAGAAAAUUAUCCUCUCUCAAAUGGAGAUGGAACGGAUUCAAGGAUCAGCAGAGAAAAACAAUGGUAGAUCUUUCUUCACAAGGAUUGUUGGAACUGUUGUGCGAUCAGUGCAAGAUGAUCAAAAGGAGCAAGACAUCAAAAUAAUGGAGGCUGAGGUGGAAGGUCUGGAAGAGCUGUCAAAACAGCUAUUCUUGGAAAUUUACGAGCUCCGUCAAGCUAAGGAAGCUGCUGCUUAUUCUCGAACAUGGAGGGGCCAUGUGCAGAAUUUACUUGGCUAUGCAUGUUCCAUUUAUUGUGUGUACAAGAUGAUUAAGUCACUACAAAGCGUUGUUUUCAAGGAGGCUGUUAAGAAAGAUCCUGUGACAAUGAUGAUCAGCAUAUUCUUGCAGUUCUUUGAUAUAGGAGUAGAUGCUGCAUUGCUCUCACAGUACAUUUCCCUGUUGUUUAUAGGGAUGUUGAUUGUGAUAUCUGUGAGAGGAUUCUUGACAAAUUUGAUGAAGUUUUUCUUUGCAGUCUCCAGAGUGGGAAGUGGAUCUUCGAGCAAUGUUGUACUUUUCUUAUCUGAAAUCAUGGGAAUGUACUUCUUGUCUUCCAUUCUUCUCAUACGAAAAAGCUUGAGAAAUGAGUACAGAGGGAUCAUAACAGAUGUUUUGGGUGGAGACAUUCAGUUCGACUUCUAUCAUCGGUGGUUUGAUGCGAUUUUCGUGGCCAGCGCUUUUCUUUCUCUGCUUUUAUUGUCUGCACACUAUACAUCACGUCAAUCCGAUAAGCACCCUAUCGACUAAGCAAAUAUACUUCUCAAGUUUGUUGUUUCCUCACCGUAUGAUAAUCAGAUGGUUGUUUUCCGAGAAUGAAUAUUCCUUACGCAGAGGAGCUUACUGACAAUCAGAAUAUUCCUUACGCAGAUCGUUCUUCUUUUCUGUAUGAAAGCCGUAGAGUGACGGCCAUUGCACUGCAAAGGAGAGGUUCAAUUCGAGAGAACGAGGGCUUUUUGAAAGGCUAAUGGUUGCGAUGAAUUUGAAGAUUGGGGACUUAACCUUUUCAUACAAAAAAAAAAGGGUCUCUCUCGAUAGUUUAACUACGUUGAACUGAAGAACUCUUCGAGUCUGCAAAUAACCAAAGUCCCACUUGGGUUUGCAUAUCAGGUGGCAAUGUAUUCUUUUGGCAAUACAAAAGUUUGGCUCUUGUAAUAGACUCUUCUGUAUAUGAUUGAUUAAAACAAUAAAAUAUGGUCGAUAAAAUGUUUAUAUGAAAGGGAA